UUUGGUGUUUGAUGAGGAGGAAGAUGAAAUUGUUUUUAAAUUAUUGAGCAGUGGUUGUAAAGUGCAUCUUACUGGUUACCAUGAUGGAAAUGGUAAUGGUGGAUAUCAAGAGUUAUGAAGAAGCAUCUGAAGCAAACAAGGAAAGAGAUGAUCCCAAAAUAAGGAGGAGAAGGAAGUCGAGGCCAAGAAAUACGAUGACGAAAAGUGAAAAGCGCAGCCGAGAUUGAGGAGCUUGAAUAAAAAGGUCGAUC
Long non-coding RNA from Papaver somniferum (opium poppy), 251 nucleotides. RefSeq lists it as uncharacterized. Lineage: Eukaryota; Viridiplantae; Streptophyta; Magnoliopsida; Ranunculales; Papaveraceae. The record is from RefSeq and is a predicted model, not a curated record. The transcript has 3 exons.